This 196-nucleotide unclassified non-coding RNA is filed under the name uncultured Basidiomycota. RNAcentral's name for it is "sequence contains ITS2". The record is from RNAcentral. Lineage: Eukaryota; Fungi; Basidiomycota.
AUGUUACUCGACCUUCCCCCUUUUGUUGGGGCGGCUCGGAAUUGGAUGCUGCUGCACGACGUUGCGGCUCGUCUUGAAACGCAUAUAGCUGGUCCCUGUCGAGGCACGAGUGGUGUGGUAAUGUUGCCUUUAAGCGCCGACGCCUUUCGAUGUGGGGGGUGGCUUUCAUGCGCAUAUAUGCGCCUAUAUCUAUGUC